Molecule: ribosomal RNA, 385 nt
Filed under: uncultured bacterium
Lineage: Bacteria
Description: bacterial SSU rRNA
Rfam family: Bacterial small subunit ribosomal RNA
Source: RNAcentral
AACGAACGCUGGCGGCGCGCCUAAUACAUGCAAGUCGAGCGAGAAGACGUAGCAAUACGUUUGUAAAGCGGCGAACGGGUGAGGAAUACAUGGGUAACCUACCCUCGAGUGGGGAAUAACUAGCCGAAAGGUUAGCUAAUACCGCGUACGCUCCUUGGACUUCGGUUCAGGGAGGAAAGCGAUACCGUGGGUAUCGCGCUCUUGGAUGGGCUCAUGUCCUAUCAGCUUGUUGGNGAGGUAACGGCUCACCAAGGCUUCGACGGGUAGCUGGUCUGAGAGGACGAUCAGCCACACUGGCACUGCGACACGGGCCAGACUCCUACGGGAGGCAGCAGUAAGGAAUAUUGCGCAAUGGGCGAAAGCCUGACGCAGCGACGCCGCGUGA